Molecule: long non-coding RNA, 1101 nt
Organism: Oreochromis niloticus (Nile tilapia)
Lineage: Eukaryota; Metazoa; Chordata; Actinopteri; Cichliformes; Cichlidae
Exons: 3
Source: RefSeq, a predicted model, not a curated record
UGGGGCAGCUACGGCUAAAGCUAUCGGCGCCAUCUCGGCGUUGAGACACGUUUAGCCGGCGUAGUGUUAGCUGUUAGAGUGUGUUAACUCAGAGACUGGGGGCAGUGGAACCUGUAGGAACCUUUUAUACGGAGAGUAGACCCAGCAGCUUUCCACAGUCUACUUACUUACCACAUCUUGUUAGACAACAGGGUCAUUAGUGCUUUAAAUAGUACAUAGUUGAAUGUUUCAUUGCUGUUUGCAGUUGAUUGUUCUCUGAUAACGCAUAACAAAGUUGAUGUUAAAUAGCGAGUUUAUUGAAAUGGGUUUGUCUAUUUCAGCAGCGUUUUAAAUAUCAUACUUUCUCUGGUGUCUUCAGUAAAGCUAAAACAAGAAUACAUUUACAUCCUUGGUUCUUUCAGUAUUAAUUGGAAAACUUUGUUGAGAUUUGCUGUUAUAUGAAAAAAAUGUUUUAUGUGCAGAAAAUCUGAUAGGAAUUCUUCUAUUGGAGAUGUGGAUUUGGAUUCAAAAGUGCUGGACAUUCAGCGUCAUCACCCAAAUGCCGACUGCAGAAUGAUGAUGGGACAUCUACGAUCCAGAGGCAUAUACAUUCAAAGAUUUCGACUGAUGGAUUCAAUGAGACGAGUCAAUCCAGAAGGGGUCAAGAUGCAACGGUUAUCUAUUAAGACUGCAAGGCGUUUUCAGUACAGUGUACCAGCAGCAAAUCACCUUUGGCAUAUAGAUGGAAAUCAGCAUUGAGCGCCUGUGGAGGGAUGUAUAUGAAAACAUCUUCACCCAGCUGGAGAUUCAAGGACUGCUCAACCCUGGUGAAAAAAUUCACUUGUUUGCUCUGCACAGAUGCUUUUUGCAUCACAUUCAACAUCAUCUUCAGUCAUUCCAGGAAGCAUGGAAUCAGCACGGACUCAGAAAAGCAAACAACCAUUCACCCCUGCACCUCUGGUUGCUGCACAGAAAGGAGGGACAAGAUUUGUCACAGGUUGAUGAGGAUUAUGGUGUGGACUGGACAGGACCACAUAAUCACCGCCCAUCAAAUGAGAUCACCAUUCCUGAGAUUCAGCUCCCACGUGCACUGAAUGAACGAGACCCUGCUGUGCUACCAAA